UACGAAAGGACAAGAGAGACAGGGCCCACUUAAAAUAAGCGCCCUAACUAAUUAGAUGAAAUAAUCUCAAUCUUAUAUAAAUAUAAAUUUAACCCAAGAAUAGGGUUCA
RNAcentral lists this ribosomal RNA (109 nucleotides) under Myotis lucifugus (little brown bat). Its description in RNAcentral is "partial 16S ribosomal RNA". Lineage: Eukaryota; Metazoa; Chordata; Mammalia; Chiroptera; Vespertilionidae. The record is from RNAcentral.